Long non-coding RNA from Homo sapiens (human), 1129 nucleotides. RefSeq lists it as uncharacterized. The record is from RefSeq and is a predicted model, not a curated record. The transcript is spliced from 2 exons. NCBI's taxonomy places the organism in Eukaryota, Metazoa, Chordata, Mammalia, Primates, Hominidae.
AGGGUGAAGGUCAUCCCAGAGCUCAGCAUUGAAACCAGCCGGAAAUUGUUCAGUUGGGGGAACUAGGGGAAAGGGAACAGUGGUGUGGAGGGCAGAGGCAGUGGUGGGAAGCCUGUGUGUGGCCGACGCAUGCUUUUACGCUGUCAUCACGGCCUUGCUUUCUAUAGCAGGGAUCUGAGAAGCAGGCAGGCAGCUGCUCUGCCCGAGACUGUCAGGAGUUGGUGGAUGUGAAUCCAUGUCUGAAGCCCAAGCUCUCACUACUCUGCUGUCUCCCUGAGGGGUGCAUGAAGGCCCCAGCCCAGCCAGUGACACAGAGGUUGGGAAGACCAGGGCGUGAAGCUUCUGUGCUUGGAGAACAGGAGGGCUUGUGGAGCUGUGGUUGAUGGCGUGUCCAGGAAGCCUGGCCAGGCUGGACUCCUCCCCCUUCUCCCAUUCCCUGGCUGGGCUCCUCUUCCUUGGGACCCUCAUAGCUUGAUGAGAAGACAGUGCCCUCUUGGCCAGACCAGGACAUUAUUUGACAGUAGAGAAACUGGAGUGUAGACAAACACCAUGGAUGCUGUGUGGAAGAGUUGUUCCCAGCUGAAGAUGUCCCUCCUCAGUGAAGCCCUGCCUGAGCGUCUCCGGUCCUUCUCAGCAGCCAGAGGCUUCUCAGCACUUCUGCGUUCCCAUCUGGGUGGGAACUGCAUGGCCUGUUUAAGCACAAGGAGGGGGAGUGUGGGGAAGGGGGAGCAGAGUGAGUGGGGAGGUCAGAAAGGCAGGCACUGGUUCAUGUAGGGUGGUUGAUACAGUUUGGAUGUUUGUCCUCUCCAAAUCUCAUACUGAAAUCUGACCCUCAAUGCUGGAGGUGGGACCUGGUGGGAGGUGCUUGGGUGACAUGGGCCAAUCCCUCAUGAAUGGCCUGGUGCCCUCCCUGUGGUAAUGAAUUCCCAUGAGAUCUGAUUGUUAGAAAGAGCCUAGGUAGCUCCUCUCUCUUGCUCCAUCUGUCACUGUGGGACACCUCUGCUACCCUUCCCCUCCCACCAGGAGGGUAAGCUUCCUGAGGCCCUGACCCCAAGCAGAUGCUGCUGCCAUGCCUCCGGUACUGCCUGCAGAACUGUGGACCAAAUAAACCUCUCUUCUUUAUAAACGG